GCCAGCACGAGAGGGUGGGCACUCUAAGGUGACUGCCGGUGACAAACCGGAGGAAGGUGGGGAUGACGUCAAAUCAUCAUGCCCCUUAUGACCUGGGCUACACACGUGCUACAAUGGCCGGUACAACGGGAGGCGAAGCCGCGAGGCGGAGCGAAUCCUUAAAAGCCGGUCUCAGUUCGGAUUGCAGGCUGCAACUCGCCUGCAUGAAGUCGGAAUUGCUAGUAAUCGCGGAUCAGCAUGCCGCGGUGAAUACGUUCCCGGGCCUUGUACACACCGCCCGUCACACCACGAGAGUUUGUAACACCCGAAGUCGGUGUGGUAACCCGCAAGGGAGCCAGCCGCCGAAGGUGGGACAAAUGAUUGGGGUGAAGUCGUAACAAGGUAGCCGUAUCGGAAGGUGCGGCUGGAUCACCUCCUU
Molecule: ribosomal RNA, 418 nt
Filed under: uncultured Paenibacillus sp.
Lineage: Bacteria; Bacillati; Bacillota; Bacilli; Caryophanales; Paenibacillaceae
Description: bacterial SSU rRNA
Rfam family: Bacterial small subunit ribosomal RNA
Source: RNAcentral